This is a long non-coding RNA of Pygocentrus nattereri (red-bellied piranha), 292 nucleotides long. RefSeq lists it as uncharacterized. The transcript has 3 exons. Lineage: Eukaryota; Metazoa; Chordata; Actinopteri; Characiformes; Serrasalmidae. The record is from RefSeq and is a predicted model, not a curated record.
GUCUAAAGGUUUCUCUGAAACAGUGAGUUAGGUGAAGUCUGCAGAUUCCUGAUGUUUACAGCGGCUCUUGUGCAAGAGCUCUGGCGAAAGUGGCCACUGGGGAAACCGAGUGAGUUUAUAGGACCCUGCCAGACGUCGCUGCGGUACUACAGGGUGAAGAUUUUUUGGUCACUUUGUACCACCACAUUGAAAGGAUCCGAUCCUUCCUCACCCAAGAGGCCGCCCAGGUGCUAGUGCAGUCACUUGUCAUCUCAAGGCUUGGUCUUCCCAUGCAGGCCAUCAAGCCUCUGCA